UCACCUGUUCCCAUCCCGAACACAGUAGUUAAGCUCUUUAGCGCCGAUGGUAGUUGGGGGUUUCCCCCUGUGAGAGUAGGACGUUGCCAAGC
This 92-nucleotide ribosomal RNA is filed under the name Brochothrix campestris FSL F6-1037. Lineage: Bacteria; Bacillati; Bacillota; Bacilli; Caryophanales; Listeriaceae. The record is from RNAcentral.